Molecule: ribosomal RNA, 125 nt
Filed under: Plectosphaerella cucumerina
Lineage: Eukaryota; Fungi; Ascomycota; Sordariomycetes; Glomerellales; Plectosphaerellaceae
Description: partial small subunit ribosomal RNA
Rfam family: Eukaryotic small subunit ribosomal RNA
Source: RNAcentral
CCUUUGUACACACCGCCCGUCGCUACUACCGAUUGAAUGGCUCAGUGAGGCUUCCGGACUGGCCCGGAAUGGGGGGCGACCCCCGUCCUGGGCCGGAAAGUUAUCCGAACUCGGUCAUUUAGAGG